CACCGCGGUUAUACGAGAGACCCUAGUUGAUAACUACCGGCGUAAAGAGUGGUUAUGGAAAAUACUUGAUAAAGCCGAACACUCCCUCAGCCGUCAUACGCACCUGGAAGCACGAAGACCUACUGCGAAAGCAGCUUUAAUUAUGCCUGACCCCACGACAGCUAAGAAA
RNAcentral lists this ribosomal RNA (169 nucleotides) under Oncorhynchus biwaensis (Biwa salmon). RNAcentral's name for it is "partial 12S rRNA". Lineage: Eukaryota; Metazoa; Chordata; Actinopteri; Salmoniformes; Salmonidae. The record is from RNAcentral.